AGCGAACGCUGGCGGCAGGCCUAACACAUGCAAGUCGAACGAACCUUUCGGGGUUAGUGGCGGACGGGUGAGUAACACGUGGGAACGUGCCUUUAGGUUCGGAAUAACUCAGGGAAACUUGUGCUAAUACCGCAUGUGCCCUUCGGGGGAAAGAUUAAUCGCCGUUAGAGCGGCCCGCGUCUGAUUAGCUAGUUGGCUGAGGUAAUGGCUCACCAAGGCGACGCUCAGUAGCUGGUCUGAGAGGAUGGUCAGCCACAUUGGGACUGAGACACGGCCCGAACUCCUACGGGAGGCAGCAGUGGGGAAUCUUGCGCAAUGGGCGAAAGCCUGACGCAGCCAUGCCGCGUGAAUGAUGAAGGUCUUAGGAUUGUAAAAUUCUUUCACCGGGGACGAUAAUGACGGUACCCGGAGAAGAAGCCCCGGCUAACUUCGUG
RNAcentral lists this ribosomal RNA (434 nucleotides) under uncultured bacterium. RNAcentral's name for it is "partial 16S ribosomal RNA". It matches the Rfam family "Bacterial small subunit ribosomal RNA", at positions 29 to 507 of the family's 1533-position model. The record is from RNAcentral.